UCUCUCUCUCUCUCGCUGAAUGGAAGGAUUCUUAUUUUGCUUUCCUACUGUUAAAUAUUUGGCUUGUUUUUUCUUCCUCUGUGCUCUUAUUACACUCCCAGGCCAGCAGAUGGCGGUAUAAACCUGAUUAUGUCACUCAGUCCUCCUUGUAAAAGCGGAAGAAGAAGAGAAGUUACGAAACCUGAAAGUAAACAGUGACGCGUUAGUGGAUAUUAAUGUUAACGUAACUCAGUUUACACUAAAUAACAGGGAGAAUUAAUAUCCAGUGCUGUUGUGUGCAGAUAUACAGCGUGUUAACAGCAAACUAAUUACAUUUUAAUCGAAAUUCGGAGGAAAAUCAGUCAGGUUUGGUGUACAAACUGAAAAAAAGACGCUUUUUUUAUCGUCGGUUUUGGAAAAAAAAUUGUAUUUAUUAAUUUAUUUUUAUCGUAUCUUUUUUUUUUUGUUUAAAUCAAGCGCAAUCAUGGAGGAGCAUAACAUCGGGCGGAUUUUAGUUCUUCUUGUCUCUCUGGUGGUUUACAUCGUUGCUUUGGCCAUCAACGCCUUGGCUGGAUCGGGAAGAGGUUGGUAACGCAGCAGGCUCCUUCUUACCCCAUCUGUAUUCUGAGAAGCCACGCCCCCUGUGACCGUUUUUGCACAGGACAGGAAACGUGUCCGCUCUGUAUGACACAGAAAUCACUCCCGCGGGUUGGACUUUCUCCAUAUGGGGAAUCAUCUACACCUGGCUUCUGCUGAUGAACGUGUAUCUCUUCAGCUGGGUCUGCAGAUGGACUGCCACCGGAUGGAUGUAUUGCAGUCCUGCUUUUCUUCCUUACGGCUUUUAUCUCUCCUGGACGAUUAACAUGCUCCUGAACAUCACCUGGCUGCUGCUAUGGGACCGAGAGUUGAUGAUUUCAGCACUAGUAUGUUUAGCUCUGAUUGCGUUCACCAGUUACCUCCUGAUCUUCUUCUCCUGUGUCGGUCUGCGAGCUCACGGAGCCUGGCUCAAACAGAACCAUCCCACAGAUCUCCUCUGCAUCUAUGUCCUGGUUCAGAACGGUAUUGCCACUUACGCAACAUGGACGACCGUAGCUACGCUCCUCAACUUGACCGUGGUGUUGGAUAUGACAUCCAUGUCCCCGACGAAUGCGGCCACUGUUUCUCUGUGCAUUCUGCUUUUAGAAGUGGUUGUAUGGUUUGCUGUUGAGAACUUUGUGAUCGAGAAGCACGUGCGCUACAUUCUGACCGUCUACCCCGUCGUCAUCUUCGCGCUGAGUGGAAGCCUGAGCAAACACUACGAUGCAGCAGCUCCAGGCAGAAACGCCGUGUUUUCAGCUGUUCUCCUGGCGCUGGCCUGCGUUUUCUUCACGAUCAGACUUUUUCUGGUGAUUCUGAGGCACCGUACUCGUCCUCUCUUCCAAGAUGGGAAUGCCGAAGGCCUAAUGAAUCCUGACCCCACCCCAGAAGAGUAGCAGCGUGGCUUUACAUUCAGCGGAUGAAACGCCAAAGCCUUUCAAUUCAUUCCGUUCCAAUGUAAAGAAGCGCAGCCUUUAACACUAAUACUUAAUACGCUACGAUGUAUUCGUCAUGCGCGGUAACCGUAUAAACCUGCAACGCCUUUGAUACGUGGCCAAAACGUACAUUCAUACAGUGCCAUGAGAAAAAAGUUUGCUUAGACUGACAUUUUUUGUCAUUUGGUUAGUCGUUGCGAUGAGUAGAAGAGUAACGAAGAGGCCGUGUUUAUAGUCUCGGAUAAUUAAAUGUGAAAUCCAGUAAGCUAAACUAGCGAGUCUAUUCGUGCGAUUAGUGUCAUCACGUGGAUCCACAUCCAUUUUUAUUCACUUGGCAGGACACGCGCGUGUCCAAUCCAAAACUCUAAAUACAGAGCAUGAGGUCUUUGAUUAAGGGUCCGACAAUGGCUCUCCGGCAGUGAGAGGAUUCUCAGUAACCGUAGAAACACGUACAUCGUUCUCUGAGGCCGAACUUUCACUACUUUCUACACUGUUACAUGGGAUCAUGACUGCACUGAUACCAGCUCAUCAUAUUAACUCUAAUCUCUUGAUUAUAAAUCUAAUCUCUUCAAUAUUCAACUGUGUAUUUGUUUACAGAGACUUAAAUAAGGAAUAAAACAUUUCUUGUAUGGGGAGAAAUUUCAAGUUACGGCUCUACAGUUAUAAAGCGCCGACGCUGGAGACUCAUUCCAUAAACGUUAAGUAAAUGUCUCUUUAUAGAAAUCUUCACGUUUUCAACAGUUACACGUUUUUUAAAAUCGAUUUAUCGUUUAUUACGGUAGAAAUGAAAACAUAUUAGAACGUGUUAGAAAAUCAUUCAAAUUAAUCAGCGCUAUCUGAGCAGUCAGAUCUGAGCGUUAUCUCAAAGAGUACUUUGAGAUGAACUUUUGAGGGUUAUUGGUUUGUUUUUUUUUUUUUGUAAUAACAAUACUCACAUUAAUAACGUGUGUUUGGAUGCUUUAAUUAAUAUUUUUGAUCUUGCUUUGAACAAUAUUACUUUAUAAAUGUUAAAUAAAAAAUGAAUACAAACUCUCUGAUGUAUUCUUUUACUCUUAUAUAGAGUAUAUAUCAGAAUUUUUGGCACUUUCAGUCUUAAUAUCUAUCUGUAGGUGUGUGUUUAUCCACUUUCAUGGACUUUCAUGUGGUUUUCCAUUUGUAUCGCAGGUGGAAAACUGAUCUAGCUUGCGACGCUUGCUUCACUUUUCCAGGUUGGUAGGCGUUAGCUUUGAUGGAAUUGGGUUGAAAUGGUAAAACUUAAGGUAUUCAAACAAACAAUAUAUAUAUAUAUAUAUAUAUAU
Ictalurus punctatus (channel catfish) is the source of this 2788-nucleotide long non-coding RNA. The record is from Ensembl. Lineage: Eukaryota; Metazoa; Chordata; Actinopteri; Siluriformes; Ictaluridae.